This 301-nucleotide ribosomal RNA is filed under the name uncultured bacterium. RNAcentral's name for it is "partial 16S ribosomal RNA". It matches the Rfam family "Bacterial small subunit ribosomal RNA", at positions 509 to 807 of the family's 1533-position model. The record is from RNAcentral.
CAGUAGCCACGGUAAUACGUAGGUGGCAAGCGUUGUCCGGAAUUAUUGGGCGUAAAGGGCUCGCAGGCGGUUUCUUAAGUCUGAUGUGAAAGCCCCCGGCUCAACCGGGGAGGGUCAUUGGAAACUGGGAAACUUGAGUGCAGAAGAGGAGAGUGGAAUUCCACGUGUAGCGGUGAAAUGCGUAGAUAUAUGGAGGAACACCGGUGGCGAAAGCGGCUCUCUGGCUUGUAACUGACGCUGAGGCUCGAAAGCGUGGGGAACAAACAGGAUUAGAUACCCCCGUAGUCCCUGUCUCUUAUAC